GCAUCACAAGCCACAGGGAGCUUUAGAACUUAGCUCUCGGUGCCACGAUCAGCAUGAGCUAUCGGGUCGAUGCCUGAUAGCCACUCCUGCAGGAAGAGUUCCAGAAUAUUCUCUCACCAGUAAGGAAAAGAAGUGACGCUCAUCAGGUUCUGAGGUUUCUGGCAGAGUGACGAGGAUUUCCAUCUCAUGUUUUCUUAUGAUUAAAAAUUGAUUACGACGUUUUGAUUUGAAACCAGUGGUCUAACUAGUGCUCAGAU
This is a long non-coding RNA of Ailuropoda melanoleuca (giant panda), 257 nucleotides long. RefSeq lists it as uncharacterized. The transcript has 3 exons. The record is from RefSeq and is a predicted model, not a curated record. Lineage: Eukaryota; Metazoa; Chordata; Mammalia; Carnivora; Ursidae.